GUAGUUUGACUCCGUGCUACAGAACACGCUGGCGGCAGGCUUAACACAUGCAAGUCGAGCGAGACCUUCGGGUCUAGCGGCGGACGGGUGAGUAACGCGUGGGAACGUGCCCUUUUCUGCGGAAUAGCCUCGGGAAACUGAGAGUAAUACCGCAUACGCCCUUUCGGGGGGAAAGAUUUAUCGGAGAAGGAUCGGCCCGCGUUGGAUUAGGUAGUUGGUGGGGUAAUGGCCUACCAAGCCGACGAUCCAUAGCUGGUUUGAGAGGAUGAUCAGCCACACUGGGACUGAGACACGGCCCAGACUCCUACGGGAGGCAGCAGUGGGGAAUCUUAGACAAUGGGGGCAACCCUGAUCUAGCCAUGCCGCGUGAGUGAUGAAGGCCUUAGGGUUGUAAAGCUCUUUCAGCUGGGAAGAUAAUGACGGUACCGGCAGAAGAAGCCCCGGCUAACUCCGUG
Molecule: ribosomal RNA, 455 nt
Filed under: uncultured Paracoccus sp.
Lineage: Bacteria; Pseudomonadati; Pseudomonadota; Alphaproteobacteria; Rhodobacterales; Paracoccaceae
Description: bacterial SSU rRNA
Rfam family: Bacterial small subunit ribosomal RNA
Source: RNAcentral